UCUCCUGGGAGGAGGAAGACCGGGUUAGUGGGGAGGCAGGGUCCAGCCUGUACCCUUCCAGGGGCACGUUCGGAUACUUGCGGCGGCAGACGUCGGCCAGAGCCCUCCCGGCACAGAUCCCAGGUUGGGAAGCAGCCAGAGAGGCCCAGGGCAGCAGCUUCCUGUGAUGGAGCAUCUUCAGGCCCUGAUGGGAGUCAAACACCCACGAAGAAACCCAUGCUUGGCUCUGAACCUCCAGAGCACCCUCACGGCCCCAGGGAAGGCGACAGUGCCUACGUGGGCCUGUUCUAGCCCCUGCACUGGGGGCCCCCAAGGGCAGGACCUUGUGUCAUCCACCGCACCCUGCACAGACCAGUCAUUCAAGAAUCCUGAUUCAACGUGGCCGGAGACCUACUACGUGCCAGGCAGCACGCUGGGUACCAAUGCCAGCAAAGGACUGAGUCUCUGCCCUCAGAGGGCUGAGGGCCUCAUGGGGGGACAGGUGAGCAUGCCUCCCGACGUGCAGUUUGGUAAGUGCCAAGACAAGCGAGGGAGAGCAGGGCAGUAAGAAAGAAGGGUGCCAGAAUCAGCCGGGUGUGUCAGGGGCAAGCAGGAGGACUUCCUGGAAGUGAGGCUUGAAGACUGAGAUGCUGAGAACAUCCUGUCCGAGGGAGCCGCAUACACAAGGCACAGAGACCUGAGGACCCCGGGUUCAGGGACCUGCAGCUCCAGAGAGCCGAGUUGUUGUGACACAGAACAUACAGCCUGCAAAGCUGAAAAAGGCUCUUCUGGCCCUUUCCAGAAAACGUCUGCCGACCCCCGUUUUGCACCACGAAGGGCCUCGUGUGCCAGGCAAGGAAUGGGGCGCUCCUUCCCGAAAGCUGCAGGGCACAGGGGUGUGACACGGCAGGGCAGGGCGACCAGUUAGCAGUCGCCCUGGCAGAGUGGGGCCUGGGGACCGCUUGCACCAAGCAGGCAGGACAGGCCCGUGGCUUCGGCCUCUGGGUGGAAGGUGCCCGUCUGUGAAGUCAGGAACAGAGGCGGAGAGACGCGAGGGGACAGACGGGCUGGUUUGGGACGUGCUGCAGGCAGACACUGAGCCAGCUUGGGGGGCUGGGAGAUGGGGCAGGAGACAGCCCCUGGGAGGGGGUGAAGCCAGACAGAGAAGCCUAGGCAGGGCACCGCAUCGGCAAGGCUGCACGACCCCGUGCCCCAAGAUGGGAGGCAGGUGGUGAUGGGUCUGGUGAAGGACGGUGGGGGAGAAACUUGAGCUUGCGGCUCAAGCUGAGGUUUGCGGGGGUACGGCAAGUGUGGCUAAGGGGAGGCUGAGGCCUAUGGGGCGAGGCAGCAAAGCUGAGGUCGGCCUAGGAGAAGUGGGGGUGGGAGGUGGGCAACAGGCGGGGACAGAGAGGCACGGCUGGGCCUGCCCCCCGUGCUGGAGUGGUUCUGGGGGGCCAGGCCACGUACUGCAGAGCUCGGCCGACGGACAGGGCGGAGCACGGCGGGAGGGGCAGGGGGGUCCAGCAGUACUGUGUCUAGCCUGCCAGCUACAGGAGCUACCUGGGUGCAGGGGUGGCCAGGAAACCAAGAGCGGCUGCCUGUGUCCUCUGCGUCUGGGGCCGGUCCAGAGGAACAGAGGCUGCGGGCCCCAGACCUCGGCAGGGACGCCAGCCUGGUGGGAACAGGAGCGGGGGGCCUCGCCUCCCACCGAGGGUCUGCGAGGGUCGGGGGGCCCUGCGGGCUCCUGUUCUCGGCUGUGUCCCGUGGACCCUGAGGCCAGAGAACCCAGCUCUGUUUGAAACACGCCUUCUCUGGGGCAGGAGAACCGAAGUGUGGAGGUUCUGCUCCUCUCCUCUGGGUGAGGCGGCCAAGAGGCCCCCAAGGGCCCGGGCCCGUGCCCCCCGGAAGCCAGAGGGCUGGGGCCUCCCGCACCAGCUCCGGAAGAAGACAGCUCUGCGGUAGCGACAGCUCCCCUUCUGCUCCCCCGACGGUCUGCAGACCAGAGCCCCCACCUGCUCACCCCUGCGCCACAGGAGGUCCCUCUCCCCUCUCCCUCCUGUGGCCAGGCACAGGGUGACGACCAGGCGAGUGGCCCUCAGCCCAGCGUGAAGUGCCACAGCGGUUACUACCAGUCUCCCAUUUCCACAGCUACGUCGCUCCCGCUGCUAACAGCCCCGCGAGGGGCACCGUCGCAGAGGAAUGAGGGGCCGGAGCCCGGGGGUAGCCCCUGUGCCCCCUGCCCGCGUGUGGGGACGGGCCUUCGGAAACUGAACUAAGGCCACACACCGAGGAGCAAGCGCUCAGCUUGGGAAGGACAGGAGCCACUAGGAGGGGUUUCCAGACAAGCCGGAGGCCUGGGCCCUGCCAGCCCUCAGGGCGGCCUAGGCGGGGAGCUGCCGGAGUCUGGAGGGGACAAGGCGGCGAGUGCCGGGGCAGGAACCCGGGCUGGCGGGACGGGAGGGUGUGGCGACGUCAAGAGCUUGGGCUCCGGGUCCCACAGCCCAGCUCAGACCCCUGCCCUGCCGCGGACUGGCUGUGUGAUCCCGGGCAACAGUUAGCCGUCGGGAAAGCAGGAAGACGAAGUGACUCCUCACCGUAGGGCACUGAGAACAGGCCUGCAUACAGCAAGUGCUCAGUAUGGUGCAGCUGUUCUGUCACCUGAGGAGAAGUGUCACUGAGGGUGUGGGGACAGCAGGUGCCUCAGGAAGAUGAGGCCUAAAAUCCUUUGCGUUUCAAAGGCUGGCCACAGGUUUAUUAUAGGUUAAGAGCCCCAGGAGGUAUCCAGGGUGAGCAGAGAGUCCUUGGGGUCACUCGACCAGGCCGAGGAACCCUGUCUGGUCCGGGCACAAGGAUGAAGGGGAGACAAAGACAGGUCCCGCCGUCCAUGAUGUCUCAGCCUUGCUCUCUCUCUGUCCCUCCAUGCCCUCCCUGACCCCGCCACCCGCGCAUGCAGGUGCUCGCUAAGGGGAGGAAGAGGCAGAUGUGUGAGGAGUGGGGGAGGGCCCGCCAGCCCGGGGAAGAGGACACUCAGGUGUGUGCACAGGCAGGGGUCGCGGGACACCAAGGAUUAGGAGAGUCGCAGCGACCUGUGCUGGGCUCCCAGCCAACCGGCCUAUGCAGCCCUAGCAGCCAGCACCCAGAGGGUCAGACCCCAGCCCAGAGCCCUGUCCCUCCAGAAGAGCCUCUCUGGGCUCCCUGGGAACCAAUCCAGCGCUGCGAGGUGCUCCAUGCCCCUGACCACAGUCCUAAUUUCCCUGAAACACAGCCAGGCCUCUACAGGGGUGCAGGACCACCCAGAGCAGCCGAGGGAUGUGGCUUGGUCUCCCCAGCAUAGAGGCUCUUCCUAAAAUAGCAACUCCCACUCUUCCUAAAAUAGCAACUACUAUAUGUUUCGGGAGUCAUAAGAAUGUUCCGAGCCUCUGACCCAUUAAUGGCUCUCCUGGGGAUUUUUCCAACAGAAAUAAUCCAUGAGAAGUAAAAAGACAUACAUGCCAGAAGAACUUCAAUGAACAUCAUUCACAUUUGUGGAAAAGACUGGAAGGCCCAAAUGCCCAGCAAGUGGCUCAUUCGACUAGGACACAUCCUUUGGACAAACCUCAUAGAAACGAUCAUAAUGACAAGUGCCGUGAUGAGAACGUGACCAAAGAGAAAGAGCCAACACCGUAUCCUGAGAAGGGGACGGCAGACCCACGCGCGCCCCUGAAUCACGGCAGAAGAGUAUGUGCGAGAGGGAACAGGGUAAUCUGACCUGGCGAAUGGAAUCCCGAGAAAACGGGUUAUGUUUUUCAAAAUUGCUAUAUGGUUAUGCUGCUGCUUUUUUAAACAUACUUUUUGAACUGGAAAUAAACACAAAACUUCCCUUGCUAUGACCCUAACCCUGGUAAUGACCAGAUUUCUUAGAAAGGGAAGGGCCCUGCCAGUCCGCCAGGCUCGCUCCGGACUCCCACGUCCACCUGGAUGAAAGCCGAGGAAGGAGACUGAUGGCCAGGUCCGAAGCCAGGAGGGGACCCCCGCCCCACAGCACAAGAGGGAGGUGGCAGGGGUCUUCUCCAGGAGCCAAGUGACAGAACCAUCACCCUGGCCUCGUUUCUUUCUCUAGUUCUCAAGUAUCGCCACUCACCAGGCAAAUGGACGCUACUGGCCAGGAUCCACACUGUCCCCCUUCUUUGCUAAAACUUCCUCCCCUGCCCUGUUAUUUUCAUGCAUGUGUAAUACGGCCUCCAUUUUGCAGGCGACCAAACCAAAGCAUGGAGGGGGUAAGCGGUUUAGUUUAUCCCAGGUUCCUCAGAGUUAGCGACAGACCCAGAACUAGAACCCAGGGCUCUUGGACCGAAAGUACAGGUGGGACUUCCUUGUUCACCAAAGGAUGUGCUUCUGACACAGCAAUUCUCUCAUCCACACUGGAUGCUGUUCUGCUGCAAAUGUGAAGGAACAUGAAGUGCCCAAAUCCUCCCUAGGAAGGACCUAACGAGGCUGCUCUAGAAACACCUGUGAGGACUCUCCCAGUGGGUGAGCCCACCCGAACGUCCUUUCUGUGCUGCCCCCAGUGCUUGUGGAGUUGAGCUGGGACAUCCAGCUACUCCUGAUGAGGGUCCUCCUUGCAGAAGCGGACCCAGCUGAGACCUCUGUGGCUGCCUCAGUGUGGUGGCCUCAGGGAGGGCAGGCCAGGGCUGGUGGCAGAUACUGGCAUUCCUUCUGAUGGGUCAGCAGAGGACAGGAGAGAGGUGCUACUGAGGGAGACUCCUGGCUCUCUAGGACAGACCCUGGGCAGGCCACAGUGACCUCCCUCAGCCGCCAUACCCCCUCCUCACAGGCUGAGGGGAGGAGAAAGGGGCCAACGCUGCGAGGCCCGGUCUCAGCGACUGGCAGUGGACCCUGAGUAACCCACAGGGCCAAAGGUGAGGGCUCGGAGAUGCUGAGUCACCCCAAAGCUGUGACAGAGGCCAGCUAUGCUGGCCCCAGAAGGCCUCCCCCAUGGCAUAUGCGCAGCGUGAGGCCACCAACUGCCCACAAGGGGCCUAGUAUGGUUAACAGGGGAAACGUGCAUCGUUUGACCCCGCUACGGGGAGGAGCAGAAAUCUGUGGCGAGUCCGGGGACAUCUCAGCCCAUCCCUCAGGACCUCGGGCCCCACAGCCCAGUCUGGCCCUCGGAGUGGCAGCCUCAGCCUCACCUGAGGCCCGUUCCUCAUGAGGCCCAGAUACCCUCAGGUAACUCGCGACCACAUUAAAGUUUGGAAGCGCCCCUUUAGGAGCAUUCGAGAAGACGGAUUUCCUCAAGGCAACAGUUCACUAGGCCCUCGUUGGGGCGUGACCACAAGGCGCAGGAGCCUGAGGCCAGGCGUCAGAGGUGGGCUGAGAGGCUGGGAACGCACCCAGAGAAGCGCAGCCUCCACAGUGACAUGGGAGCAACCGUCAGGCCUGAGGGUACGUGGAAAAGGGAUGGCGCUUGCUCCGGAGGUUCCCACGAGAGGAAGCUAGCGAGAGAAGGCUUUGGGGAACAGACUGGCUUCUAGAGCAGGAAAAAUGUUCUAAGAGUCAAAGCAGUUCAAACAAAGAAUGUGCUGCGCUGAGAGCUAGUGAGCUCAGGUCCUGGACGCUGGGUGAGGAGGUGACAGGAGGGAGUCCACCACAGGAUGGGAACCUGCCAGACUUGCCAAGCCGAGGCCUGGGGCCCUGCCACAUGGGUCCAUGCAGAGAGAUGGAGAAGGUGGGGAAGCUGCCUCACGUGGUCUCUCCCAGCCCUGCAGUGCUUUGAUGGCUAGCCUAAAAAUACACACCUAGUCAAGGCCUUGACCCUCUCUGGGAAAAGAACCAAAUGAGGCAAAGGAAAGAACAAGCCCUGAAAGUUUCUAGUAGGCUUUCUGGGUAGAGCAAAAAAGCGACCCAGAUCCCAGGGAGAAGCACCGGAAGCCCGCCCUGGGGGCUGUGCAGAGGUGGGGCGGGGGUGGGGACUGGCUGGGGUGCAGCGUGCGUCCCGGGCCCGGGCAGGGAUUUGUAAACAGGUAUUUGCCACACUGCUCAGGUGGGCUGUAAGCCCCUGACCAGGGCAGGCUGUCCGCAUGGCCUCCACCAGGCUCUGGGAAGGAACCAAUCAAGCCCCCUUCUCCUCAGCACUGACUCAGGCCAGGCCUUGCCUUUGUACGGCUCAGGACUGAGACAGAAGCAGGAGGCCCGCACUGCUCCCGGGGGCCCUGACGGGGCAUUCAGGAGUUCGUUACAGGCAGUGGCCAGCAGGGAUUUGGAUACAUGAGCUUGGCUGAUGAGAAGCUAAGUUUCUACAACAUCCUUGUAAAGGGGCGGUGGGGGGCGGGGGGGGGGGGGGGGAGACUUAAAAUGGAGAGAGAAAUCAGCAGUGCCCAGGUAGCUGGGUGGGUGGGUGGCGUCUGCACGAAGCAAGCCUGUAGUCUGUUUGCAUGCCGUGUCCUCGUGCGUGCCUGAGUGUGUCCUCUGCACGUCCCGUGGGUACGUACACACACACACGCACAUACACACAUCACUACAGCCCAUCACAGGCUGUGAGCAGAUGCACAGCUGUCCCCAAACACAUCUGCUCUGGGCCUGAUUUCUCCAGAUUCUUGGAGCUUCCAGGCCACUUGAAAGCCAAAACAAAGGUCCAAGGACCACAGCAGGUGCCUGACCAGCUGAGCAGAGGAGGCAGCAGAAGGAAGGAAACGAGGAGCAGGAGGACCUGGCCCGCCGGCCCUGGGAGGUCAGAGCCCACACAGCUCGCCUCUCCCUGAUGAAGAGGGCAAAGGGCCACGGCACGUGCAAUCGGGGAACUGUGCUGCCAUGUGCCUGGGGAGGGCAGCCACCGUCUACACGGGGGACCAGCACGGGCUGCCCCAUCCAAAGACAUGGUUACUGCCUCGCUAAGAACAGUCACUGGUCGUCUCUGCAAGGCCCCAGGCUAAAUGCUGGGAAGGUCAAAGGUAAACAGUACUCCCGAGAGGUCUGACGGCCAGGGCACUCAGGUCACCUGGGAAGUGCCUGGUCUCAUGGGGCAGGAGUGCUUUGCUGUCUUCAGCCAAGGGCUGUGGGCAUUCCCAGGGAGCUCAAAGGCCGGCCUCUCUUCGAACAAGCCCCUCCGAUGUGAAAACGGACUCCGAGCCCGCAUCCCCAGAGUCUCUCAAGUUGUCAGCUCCGAGAAGGAAGCAGGCUCAUAAUCUUGGCAUGGCGGCCACCAUCAGGCCGUAUCAUCUGGGACAGUGCAGAAAUCACACAGACCCAGGGGCAGCCCAGAACUCUGACCCUGCUACAGGGGGAGAGGGGACACUUGCCUGGACUCCUGUACGGUCUCCAGAGACAGGGGCCACCGUGCAGGCCAAGGGGACUGCCGUCUCAGGAGACCACACUUUGGGCCCGAAGACGGCCGUGUGUUUGUUGUCUCCAGCCCUCCCCCAGUGUGCUUGGCACAGAGCAGGUGCUCCCGAGAGGUUUGGCGAGAUAAUGAGCUGUCAACUAGGAGCGGUGGCCCAAGGGACCAGCCAUCGCCCUCUAGAACAGCACUGUUAGAACUUCCUGCAAUCAAACAAACGCUCUGUGGUCUACGCUGUCCGAGAUGGUCCCACGAGCCCCUUGUAGCUACUGGGCACAGGAGACGUGGCUAGUACGACAGACGCGCUAAUGCUUAAUUUUUAAAUUUUUAUUAAUUUAAAAGUACAUGGCCACAUAUAACCAGCGGCUACCGUAUCAGAGCAGUUCUAGAACACUGUAGCAAGUAAGUGCGGCUUACGGGCCAACCCAGGGUAACAGAGCCGCUGCCUAGAGAAGGAUGCCGAGGCCACAUCAGUGAUCAGUGGGCAAGACCUGCCGUGUCGGCGGUGGGAGCCCAACCACGGGCUUCCGCCCCUGCUCAACCCACCCCAGGCGUGAAGGUUCCAGCGGGUUCGACAGACCAGCUCUCCACCUGUGAGGGUCGCUGGUGGUUUGGGUUUGCUCCCCUAUGCCUCCUCCCCGUGGAGCAGUAAAUCUCACCAGUGCUUUUCCCAAAUGCAGCUCCCACCUUCCUUUACUCUCUGGGCCUCUGCUCGGCCCCACCCCAGUUCUGGCUGGGCUCCCGACCCCAGUCCCUCCCACGCGAGGGAUGAGCGCCGGGCGCUCUGGGAAGGACCUGCCACGUGUCCCUCUCCACCUCUGCACUCAGCCCUCCCUAACCCACCCCUGCCCUCACCGCCUACUGUCUUUGAGGAGAAGUGAUAAGUGUUCCUCAGGAGCCGUCUGGUUGCCAGCUUUCGCUGGACUCCCCAGCUUGAGGCCCUUGUCCUACAGGACCCACCAUCGUCACCGCUGGAGGGCCCCUCCAGAGUGUGCAAAUGCUGGCCCAGCCCAGGAAGCCUGCCAGACACACAGGUAGGGCACAGGAUGAGAUGUGUCCCCUCAACUCUCCUCAUGGAUGUCGGUAAGAAAGACUCUCCACCCCCCACCAAACCUGUGCUCUCACCAUCCUCUCCUCUCGACGGCCUCCCGGCCCAAAUCCCGACAGCCAUCGUGGACUCUCCACUCUCCCCCCUCCCAUGCCACUCAGCAGUGAAUCCUGUUAGCUCUACCUUCAAAAAACACCUGGAAUCAUUCCUUUCAUCACCUCCAUCCUGGUCUGAGCCACUAUCCUCUCUCCCGAAAAUGACUGCAUCACUUCAAAUUGGUCUCCCUGCUUCCACUGCUCUCUCUUCUCCACCAGCAGCCACACUGAUCUUUUAAAACCUCCCACCCUCCAAUGCCUCCGGGGAAAAGCCAUGGUCCUUACAAGGCCCUGCAGGACCUGACACCCACCACCUCCCUGCCUCACCUCCCUCUUGAGCCCUGUGUUGUAUCUUUCCGUUUUCCAAGGCAGUCAGAAAUACAAGUUUUUAUAGAGAACGCCCAAAUUUCUAAGUAUUAGAAAUGUUUCAAACUCCGGACAGGUCAAAGGAAGCAGAUCCCCACAGGCCGGGUGUGGUCCAGAGACUACCCAACAGAAGUAGGGUAGGUCGGCUGGGGUGGGGUGGGGGGGCGCGCCAACUCUUCUCCGCUGGGUUUUCGGAGAUGAUUCAAGGAGAUAAUCCAGUAAAAACGCAGCCCAGGGCUCCACACGAAGUAACUGUCUGAUAAACUACCCCCUGACGAAACCAAACGUCAGUCCUCUGGCCAGAGAGAGGGCGGGACGCUCCACAAUCCCGGCCACACUGGUCAGGGACAGCAGUCGCUAAAACCGGGGGUACACAUGCUGCGGGGGGGAUGUGGCUCUGACCCCCCAGGGCCCAGGAGGGCCGCAGCUCGGAAGCCACACAGCCCAGACACAGUCCUGUCACCACCAGCAGCGCCUGGGGCUACCUGAUGCAGCAGACGCCCUCCCACCGCCAGGAGCCCUCCAAGGCUCUGGAACAACCUGUCCUCUGUGGGCUCAUCACCUGCGUUAUCUAAAACGUGGCUUGGUUCUGCUAAAUCCUGAAACGCUCGAAUGAGGAACAUUUUGUGAAAUCCAGGAGGUGGGGGCUGGAACCCACAGAAGCACGAAUCCCUGCUUCACGCCACGGGAAAUUAGCCUUCUGGCUUUUCUCAAACCAAGAUGCGCUCGAGGCUAAAAUACAACUUAAAAAUAUCAGAUACACUGGCGAGUGGGUCCAUGAGGACGUUAAGGUAGCAAGAAGAUUUCGAGGCCCGUGUCGGGGAGCGGGGCCCUCUGUGGCUGUCUAGUGGACGACGGGCCUGUCCCACCCACACCAGGUGCUGACGGUGCAAGAGCCUGGCCCCAGGCCCCCACUCGAGGAGCAAGACGCAGAGCCGCCACGGCUCAGUGGGGCCAUGUUCGUCCCACUCCACACCUGCCUCCCCUCCCCCCGUGGCUCCCCAGGAGGCAGGUCCCCAGCCCCGAUCUCACUGUUGCCAGGACAAGAGCGGACACUUUAAGGAUGGACACCAGAAGCCCGACCCCAGGGCAAGACGUAGCUGGUCUCUGUGUGUGUGUCUUUCUCGCUCUGUGUCUGUGUGUCUGUCUCUCUGUGUGAAGGCUGUGUGACUUUCCUCUCCCCCACCAACCUCUCGUGAGAACAGGGUGCAGGGGUGAGAUUACUCUCUGCCUCACCCUCGGGGCCAAAGGCGUGGGCAGAAGUCAGCGAGGAGGGCCACUCAAGAAGACAAGGAACAGCUGACCUUAUGAAAGGACAGCACUCCCGAGUCCCAAGUUCUGGGGCUCCCAGGGGAGAAGUCUGUGACUCUCAUGGUAAUGGAUGGUUCUUCCUUCCAAGACCUCAAGGGCAGAAGGCCACCCACCUGGGGAAAGACUCCAGCAUGAAGAAGAAACAUCAUCCCCCGGUCAUGGUGACCCUGGGUAUUGGGUUUAAGUAGAAGGAAAGGCAGAGAGAAGGGGCUCUUCUGUCCUGCACAUCCCCCCAGGAGCUACAUGGAAAACCACCCAGACAAAGAGGACCUGGCCCUCACUGAGGCCUUCGGAUGCUUCUCUGACCUAGAAUCAACUCUGCACAGUCAGCCGUCGGCUCUCCCUCCUCACCUCUGACGGGGACUGGGGGCAGCCCUCUCUUCCCUGAAAAAGGACAGGCCAGCCCGUCUAAUAGAAUGCAGUUUAAAGGAAGCACUGGCCUCUGCCACAGCCUUUCAUCCCUCCAUCCCCCCCGGCGUCCUCCUUCAACCACGGCCCCCUCCCUGGGAAGUUAAUUCUGAGUGUGAGAUCCAGAGCAGCUCAGAAUUCUGUCGUUUGUACCUGGUGACAGGUAUGUGCUGCGCGGAUUUCCCGUCGGCCCGCUGUUGCCAGGCCGCAGUUGGGGCACUUAGCAACCCUCGAGGUCCCCAACUACACCCUGGAGUAUGGCACAUGCGAAUAAAGAAAAACGACGCCAGUUCUCCAGACCUCUGGGCUCCCUGCUCUACCCUAACAAGCCCCUGGAGCUGGGGAGGCUAGAGAGAGGCCCCAAGUCCCCCCUGAUGGCCCCAUAUCACAGGCAGAUGCCGGGGACUGCCUACAAAGUGAGACAGGCACUCAGCAGAACCAAAGUGCCCCGUGCCCGCCAGGGCCACUGUCCCCAAGCCUCAGCUCCCCGAGGCCCUCAGAGUGGUUGGGCCUGUGGGCAGGAGACUGGAGUCAGGGAAGCUGCUGCAGCCAGAUGACCGGAAUCUGAGACCUCCAUCCCACUUCUCUUCACCACGCAGACAAGCCCACCUCGGUGCCCAAGCCAAAGCGGAAGCCUGAGUGCCAAGGCCCGGGGCUGCCUUGCACCUUCCCAGGGGACGAGGGCUGGCGGCCCACCUGUCGGGAGUCGCCUGCCUUUAUCAGCAGGACGUUGGUCAUCUUGGCGAAGGAGAGUACAACCUCCCAGGUGACAGGCGCAAGGAAAACAGAAGCAGAGGACCCGGGAUGGGAUCCCUUCAGCCCGUCUGAGGAAGGGGAGGAGGCCCGGAGAGGAGACCCCCGUCCCACUGGAGGCUGCCCAGCCGCCAGGGCAGGCCCUCCCCUCAGCGCACACGCCGCUUCCUCCCCAGGCAGCUUGGAAACAAGAUAAAUACACGCCGACAAAAUACAAAGUGAGACACGAAUGAUGAUAUAACUAAACUCUGAAACGAAGCGUCCUCUGCAGAGGAUAUACUGAGCAUUUUUUGAAUUGGGAAUUUCUUACAAAGACAUUUAAACACUGUGGGUGGCCACAGGGGCACUGACCUCAGACAACUCCUCACACAGGAGCCACGACCAAACCAGCUUCGAGGACUUUCUGUAGUCCUUUCUAGCAUUUUCCCGUCUACGAUCUCAUUUUUAUUCUCACCAGAAGUCCUCACAGGAGGACAGCCAAAUGGGACUGCUGACCUCUCCUCCUCCUCUGCACUCAGCCGGCCUUCCCGGGAUGUCAAGUCUGCCCCACUGCCCAGGGAGGGAGCAAGCUGGGUCUCAUCCUACCUGUGGCCCUUCCUCUAGCCAGUGUCCCCAGGGCAUGAGCCACGAAAGGGCUUCAUGUUAUUUAGACUCAUCUCAAUGUUCUUACUUCAAAUGAUUUCUGGACAACUCCAUGACAAUGGCAUUAUCUUUAAUCUCACUUUUGCAGAAAACUGAACUGAAGACCAGUCAGGCAGAGUGCCAACAUCACACGGUGAGGAGGUGGGAAAGCCGGGUCUCACUGUUGCCCAGAAAAUGCUGGAGGAAGCAAUGGAUGCAAAUCCCAGGUCCAAGCUCACCAGCAGGACUUGCCUCUGGUGCAGGCUUCAGACCCAGGAGUCGGUCCCAGGGAGAGGCGCGCGCACAGGACGGUGGGUGUGUGCAAGGAUCUCCGGCCUCGGUCCUCACUGGCAAGGAAAGGCACCUGCUGCUCGGGGCUGACCCAAUGCUCACCCAGUGCCUUUCUGUGUGGUUUUAAAGAUCAGGCUUGGGUAUGGGGUUUUUUUUGGAGUGAUGAACACGUUUUGGAACUAGAGGUGGUUGCCUGCACAGCAUCGGGAAGGUACUCGGUGGCACCCUUUCAUAUGGUUAACUCGACGUUAUAAGAAUUUCACCUCCAUAAAAGGAAAAAAGGGAAAAAAAGCAAACAUGGAAGGUUCUAAAACCUUCUUUAGCUGAGAACACAAUUUAUCAUGAUGUCGUUUUUAAAAUUAUUUUUAAAAGAAACACCCAAAGGAUGGAGGUUUGGGUGGUCUCUUCUAGACUUCUCCCUAUCUUCAGACUUUUAUCCAACAACAACAGUCCGACAGGAGACAGCCCAGGCGCCUCGCCUUGUAGGCGCAGGCACCGGGCAAAACACCCUCUACAUUCGGCCCCCACAGUCACCACAUGACGCAGGCGUCCAGACUCAAAGAUCUGCUUCUUAGCUGCUAUUCUUAACAGCUAUCUAUGAGAAUAAGGUGUUACUUCUAUAAUCAGGAUAACAUGGUGAGGACGCUCUCAAAACACCGAAGAAGAACAAAAAAAGACUUGCAGGAAUAAUCCUCUAUCGGUAUUUUUUUCUUGAUACUUGUCUGCGUUUACCAAAUACCGUACAACGUGUGCUAAAAAAUACAAACAAGAAAACCUCUCCCAAGCCUCAGCCUACCUGGCUGUGACUUGAGCCAAACGAGUAAGCAGCAGGAAAGAGCUCACAGGAUGCCACUACCUCUGUGGGACCUCCGCCCCGCCCCUGGGGUUUCCAAACAGGCAUUUUUAGAGGGGCAGCAGGGUUCCAUAUCAAAGAAGCAUUUUCUCAGUAAACAAGGGAAUUUAACUGCCUAAGUGCAUUCUCGUUCAUUGCCGGGAGGAGUAUAAAUUCUUUGCACCUCUACGAGAGAUGAUGCGGUAAUAUUUCUCAACAAUGUAUGUGCGUGGUUUCUCAAAAAAUGAGAACUACUACCUAGACCUACCACAUGACCCAGCAAUUCUACAUCUGCGUAUAUACCCCGAAGAAUCGAGAGCAGAGUCAAACAGGUCCCUGUCUACCCGUGUUCACAGCAGCACGAUUCACCACAGCUGGGAGGUGGACACAACCCAAGUGUGCAUCCACAAAUGCAGGCAAUGGAGUAUUAUUGCACCUUGAAAAGGAAGUCCCGCCACGUGCUGCACCACAGGUGAACUCCGAAGACAUUGUGCGAAGCACAAGAAGCCAGCUGCAGAAGGACGUGAUUCCACUGACAUGAGGUUCCAAGGAAAGGGAAACUCAGAGAUAGAAAGUAGGGUGGUGGCGGCCAGGGCCAGAGGAAAGGAGAAUGGGGGGCUAGUGUUUCGUGGCCACAGAGUUUCAGUCUGAGAUGAUGAAAAAAUCCUGGAAAUGAACAGUGGUGAAGGUUGCACACGAUACCGUGAACUGAAUGACACUGAACCGUACACUUAGGAGCCCAGUUAAAGAAACGUUACUUCUCGAUCGCGGAAUACAAUACAGUCGUUAACAAAGGAUGAGGCGGUAUCAUGUCACCUUAGAGCCGUCUCAAAGACAGCAGGUGAAAGAUCUGGGGCAGAAGAGAGGGUAUACUACCUGCAUACGUGUGCAAAGUCUGUGUCCCAGAUUUGGAAGUAACUGGAAUCCUGAAAGUGUCCCAAGACAUGACAGUGGUGGUCUGAGGGGCGGCCAAGUGGACGGCCAUGCAGGGAACCUUACUUUCCACGGUAUAACCUUUUCACACCUUCAUAAUUUUAUACCACGUACACUGUAAGCUACUUAAAAAUUAACUUCAAGA
Mirounga angustirostris (Northern elephant seal) is the source of this 14097-nucleotide long non-coding RNA. RefSeq lists it as uncharacterized. The transcript is spliced from 2 exons. Lineage: Eukaryota; Metazoa; Chordata; Mammalia; Carnivora; Phocidae. The record is from RefSeq and is a predicted model, not a curated record.